AGGUCUUUUAGUCCUAUAUAUAUAGACAUGUCAACACCUCUUGUAAGGCACUCUUGAACAUAAUGAAUUGUUAUUCUGUUGAGAGCACUCCAGAGCAAUUCUUCCUUGAAAGUCAAGGCCAGAGAAUCUCAAAGGAUCUCCUUUAGCCACCUUCCAUCUCACACUAUCAUUCUCUCCAUUUUUCCAAAUUCAAUUUCUCACUCCUCCGCCAUUGU
RNAcentral lists this long non-coding RNA (215 nucleotides) under Vigna radiata. Its description in RNAcentral is "long non-coding RNA (VRAD_LNC007326)". Lineage: Eukaryota; Viridiplantae; Streptophyta; Magnoliopsida; Fabales; Fabaceae. The record is from RNAcentral.